Molecule: non-coding RNA, 347 nt
Organism: Homo sapiens (human)
Lineage: Eukaryota; Metazoa; Chordata; Mammalia; Primates; Hominidae
Source: the annotation of a RefSeq genome assembly
AUGGGCACCAGGCUCCUCUUCUGGGUGGCCUUCUGUCUCCUGGGGGCAGAUCACACAGGAGCUGGAGUCUCCCAGUCCCCCAGUAACAAGGUCACAGAGAAGGGAAAGGAUGUAGAGCUCAGGUGUGAUCCAAUUUCAGGUCAUACUGCCCUUUACUGGUACCGACAGAGCCUGGGGCAGGGCCUGGAGUUUUUAAUUUACUUCCAAGGCAACAGUGCACCAGACAAAUCAGGGCUGCCCAGUGAUCGCUUCUCUGCAGAGAGGACUGGGGGAUCCGUCUCCACUCUGACGAUCCAGCGCACACAGCAGGAGGACUCGGCCGUGUAUCUCUGUGCCAGCAGCUUAGC